Molecule: small nucleolar RNA, 73 nt
Organism: Gambusia affinis (western mosquitofish)
Lineage: Eukaryota; Metazoa; Chordata; Actinopteri; Cyprinodontiformes; Poeciliidae
Source: Ensembl
CCAAGUGAUGAUGAAUGGCGUAAAAUGUUCAACUGCUCUGAAGCGUGACUGAAAUCAGCCUGACUGAACCGGC